GAUGAACGCUAGCGGGAGGCUUAACACAUGCAAGUCGUGGGGCAGCAUUUGGUAGCAAUACUGAGAUGGCGACCGGCGCACGGGUGAGUAACGCGUAUGCAACCUACCCUGUACAGGGGGAUAGCCCGGAGAAAUUCGGAUUAAUACCCCAUAAAGAUAUCUGAAGGCAUCUUUAGAUAUUUAAAGUUUCGGCGGUACGGGAUGGGCAUGCGUAACAUUAGCUAGUUGGUAGGGUAACGGCCUACCAAGGCAACGAUGUUUAGGGGUCCUGAGAGGGUGAUCCCCCACACUGGUACUGAGACACGGACCAGACUCCUACGGGUGGCAG
This 328-nucleotide ribosomal RNA is filed under the name uncultured Bacteroidota bacterium. Its description in RNAcentral is "bacterial SSU rRNA". It matches the Rfam family "Bacterial small subunit ribosomal RNA", at positions 28 to 351 of the family's 1533-position model. The record is from RNAcentral. Lineage: Bacteria; Pseudomonadati; Bacteroidota.